Macaca mulatta (Rhesus monkey) is the source of this 260-nucleotide non-coding RNA. NCBI's taxonomy places the organism in Eukaryota, Metazoa, Chordata, Mammalia, Primates, Cercopithecidae. The record is from RefSeq and is a predicted model, not a curated record.
GUCUGCCAAUAAAAUAUAAUUCUUUUCCUCAUUUCACAGGGAACAGUCUUCUAAAUUGCUCAGGAGAUGGUAAAAGAUGGGAAAGCUGAGUCGGUAGGGAUAUCACAAAGGAAAACUAUGGUCAAAGCAUGAAGAAGAACAGAAGGAUUUGCAGAGGGGAAACAGAUGUUUACUGUUCAUUUCAUAAUCACAAGGCUGGAUGGAUGUGGAACAACAAAUCACAGCUUCAAAACACAACUACAUUAAAACCAUCCCAAAGA